AAUCUACCUUUCCGUUCGGGAUAACUAGCCGAAAGGUUAGCUAAUACCUGAUACGAUCACCGGGUGGCAUCAUCUAGUGAUGAAAGCAGCAAUGCGCGGAUUGAGGAGCCUGCGGCCCAUUAGCUAGUUGGUGAGGGUAACGGCCCACCAAGGCGACGAUGGGUAGCUGGUCUGAGAGGACGACCAGCCACACUGGGACUGAGACACGGCCCAG
RNAcentral lists this ribosomal RNA (214 nucleotides) under uncultured bacterium. RNAcentral's name for it is "partial 16S ribosomal RNA". It matches the Rfam family "Bacterial small subunit ribosomal RNA", at positions 123 to 334 of the family's 1533-position model. The record is from RNAcentral.